RNAcentral lists this long non-coding RNA (21314 nucleotides) under Brassica napus (rape). RNAcentral's name for it is "long non-coding RNA (BNAP_LNC013658)". The record is from RNAcentral. Lineage: Eukaryota; Viridiplantae; Streptophyta; Magnoliopsida; Brassicales; Brassicaceae.
CGAGAGAAGGUGGAGAACGCCAGAAGGAGAGAGAGAUCGCCGGAGAGGAAGAAGAGAGAAAUGGGGAAGACGAUGCGUUUGGAGUUUAUAAAACCUUGGGUCCGACGGAUAUUUUCCGUCGGAAUUCCCUCAGUAUUUUCAAUUUCAAUUUUCCCGAAAUAUUUGGCGGCUUGUUUGCCUGGUUAAAUGAAAAUAUUCCGAGGAAAUUCCGACGGCCACUUAAAUAUCCGUCGGAAUUUCCUCGGAAUAUUUUCAUUAAUUCGAGGAAAAAGAAUAUCCUGUGCAUGUAUUUCUAUUAAUUUAUAUUGUUCCUCGGAAUUUUCUCGGAAUAUUCCGAGGAAAUACCGAGGAACUAGUGUUUGGGGUUUCAAAACAUCAAUUUUUUUUGUCGUAUUUCAUUUCUUAUACAAUUGUAAUGCAUACCAUUGAGGAUUCUUUGUAUAGAUGAGCAUAAACCAUGAAAUAACAAAUUUCAAAACAAAUUGUAAGUAUUCCCUUUACCGUUCAUUAAAGUGUAUAAGUGUUUCUCUUAUGUUGUGGGGAUUUCGUUCAUACAAUCGGAAAAGUGUUUAUUAUAGGGUAAGGAACAAAUUUUUGACUUCAUAAUGAACGUAAGACACUUAAUAAGGGUUAUAUAGGUGUUAUUCAAACCGCAAAUACGUUGUUUUUGGUUUAAAAACCUUAUUUCCUCGGAAUUUCCUCGGAAUAUUCCGAGGGAAUUCCGAGGAAACCCUUUUCUUCCUCGGAAUUUCCUCGGAAUAUUCCGAGGAAAUUCCGAGGAACUAGUGUUUGGGGUUUCAAAACGUCAAUUUUUUUUAAACGAAUCGAUCGAUGGAUAUAUGUCCAAAAACGCAUCGAUCGAUCACUAAGAUGGACCAAAGCGUAACAAAGUGAUCGAUCGAUGAGAUUAUCCCAUCGAUCGAUCGAGGAUAUCAAGUGUUCCUCGGAAUUUCCUCGGAAUAUUCCGAGGAAAUUCCGAGGAACUAGUGUUUGGGGUUUCAAAAUCUCGAAUGUUUUUUUAUAAACGGAUCGAUCGAUGGAUAUAUGUCCAAAAACGCAUCGAUCGAUCACGAAGAUGGACCAAAGCGUAACAAUGUGAUCGAUCGAUGGGAUUAUCCCAUCGAUCGAUCGAGGAUAUCAAGUGUUCCUCGGAAUUUCCUUGGAAUAUUCCGAGGAAAUUCCGAAGAACUAGUGUUUGGGGUUUCAAAAUCUCGAAUGUUUUUUUUAUAAACGGAUCGAUCGAUGGAUUUAUGUCCAAAAAAGCAUCGAUCGAUCACUAAGAUGGACCAAAGCGUAACAAUGUGAUCGAUCGAUGGGUAUAUGUUCAAAAACGCAUCGAUCGAUCACUAGUUCGUCGGAAUUUCCUCGGAAUAUUCCAACGGAUUGAUGUUUCCUCGGAAUUCCGUCGGUAUAUUCCGAGUAAAUUCCGAGGAAACCCAAAUUUUGAGUUUCCUCGGAAUUUCCUCAGAAAUUCCUCGGAAAAUUCCGAGGAUUUCAUUUUCCGUCGGAAUGUCCGUCAGAAUACCGUUGUUUUCUUGUAGUGUUGGUAUAUAGUUUUUGUCUGGAAUUAACUAUUUUCUGCCUUGAAAUGAGCUUCGAUGGCAAAACCAUUCCAGAAAACAACAAAUUAAAGCAAAAUAAAAUUGAAAAACACAUACUAUUUUUUUUUAAAAGCUUCAAUAACAUAUAUUUAUAAAAAUUUCAUAUUCAUUUUUUUGGGAUUUUAGAUGUUAUAAUUCAGAAAUCCUUGGCGCUGGAAAUAUAUGAGAUCAAAGCCUUAUCAACCUGUUUCACUGAAUUCUUUGUGUCCUAUAUUCAAAGAUCUUUAAACAUCCGUGUAGACUGCUUUGACAACGAAAAACGAACGUCUCUACCUGUUUGUGAAAUAAUUUUGCACUAUGUUGGCAAGUCUUUUAUGCUGGUCAAGUUGAUCCAAAAUAGUUUUCGAUGCCAAAGAAAAAAAAUCAGAAAAUAAAGAUAUCACUAAAAUAAAGAUAUAAAUAAAAUAAAGUCCACACUAGAUCGUUAAUGUAUUUGGUUGUUAUAAUUUAUAAACACCUAAGCCACCAGUUAAUAAUCUAGGCGUCCGCUUAAUCGUUUUAAGCGCUAUACGUUAGGUCGUCACCCGCUUACCGCCUAGCGCUUUUUUUAACACUCCUAAAAACAUAAAAAUUAAGGGUGGACAACAUAUCUAUAAACUGAUUUGAUAUGUUAUUCAUAUCGAUUCUAACCGAAAAUUUGAAUAUCUGUAAUUUUAUAAAGAAAAACAAAUAUUAAUAUGCAAUAUCUAUAAAAAAUAAACGAAAUCACAAAUCUAAUAUUUUUUAAAAAAGGAUAUCAGUUCCAAUCCAUUAUAGACAUAUAUAAACUAUAUUUACAGAAAUUUCUAUAUUAUAUAAUUAUUAUAUUUUAUAUAAGUUGAAAUAUUUUUACUCACUAAUUUUAUUAUUUUAGUUCUUAGAAUUUUAAAAAGUAAAUAUUUUUUUGUAAUAAAAUACAUUUUAGAUUAUUUAUUUGUUUAUUUUUUGUAUGGACCGAAUCAUAUACUUAGUAAAAAUAGAGUAGCUGCGAAGUAGAUUGAAUCAAAAAAUUGAUUAUCCAAAUGAAACAGAUUAAAUCAAAGAUCUCCCUGAAUAUUUGUUUUUUGCCCACCCCUAAUAAAACUGCCACCAUACAUUGGUAACUCGCCGGAAAAAAAAAACAAGACACUUACGAAAAGAGAAUGUAACACUUUCAUUCACCCUUUUAAUAUGUUCGUUAGUCUAUUGAUGAAAGCUUAUCAAAAAGCUGAGAUCAAUAGUGAUCAUCUUGAAUAACUCCGUCUAUAUCUUUCCGGUAAACCAAGGUCUUGAUCACUCACAAUAUUCUGCGGCAGUCUUUAGUCUUACUAUAUAAUUUUUGAAGAAGGUUCUAGCCACCUCUUCUGCAGUGUAAUCUGGAGGACAAAACACAAUUCACAAUGACAGAGUCAAACCCUUUAGACUUGGGUAGGACACUUAUGAAGAAUUCAAGUCAAAGUGGAUACCAUAUAUUAGAUAAAAAAUGUCUCAGAUCGGCAGUUGGAAAAGAUCUUUAGUAAUAUAUAAGAUAGAUAAGCCACUCUAUUUAUCACUAAUUGGUUUUAGGUUGGAAGCUCAUCUAGCUUAACAUGGUAUCAGAGCUCGAUCCAAACAGUCCAACCCGAUCAACAUUGAUAUGGUUCAAAGUUGGUCCAUCGAUCCUUACCUGAACAUUCCGAGAUUAACGCUUAAAGAACCAUCAUCUCGAGGGGCGUAUUAGACACAAAAUGUUCCACAUCGGUAAUUGGAAGGGAUCCUAAACAAUAUAUAAGAUAGACAGACAACUCAUCUUAUCACCAAUUGGUUUAGUUUGGAAGCACAUCUAGCUUAACAUGGUAUCAGACCCCGAUCCACAUCGAUAUAGCCCAAAGUUUGCCCAUCGAUCCUUGUCUGAGCAUUCCGAGAUUGGCUCUCAAAGAGACAUCAUCUCGAAAGAGCAUAUUAGACACAAAGUGUCACACAUCGAUAGUUGGAAAAGAUCUUUAGUAGUAUAUAAAAUAGAUGAUCUACUCUAUUUAUCAUCAAUUGAUUUUAGGUUUGAAACUCAUAUAGUUUAACACCCAGGUAGUGGCUCCAACCAACCCGAUAAAUGUUCCUUCCAUUCCACAAAAACCUGUCAAUUUAGCAUUUGUUUCUAACAUUAAAAAAUGUUAUUCUUAAAAUUCUAUGCAUUUUUUAUCAAAAAUAAAAUCAUUUUAACUUUAAUUGUCAUUAUUAAUUGUCUUUGAUAAUCAUUAUUAAUUGUAAUUACUAAGGAUAUAAGUGAAUUUGAAUCAAUUUUCUUAACUAGUAUGCAAAAGUGUCAAAGUGACAUUCUUUAAGAACAAAUGAAUUAUUAUAUUAUGUAAAACUAUCAUAUAUUUUGUAUACGUGAGUGUAAAAGCAAUACCAACUAAUAAUAUGAAAACUAGUUAAUAUAUAGGAGUCUUCUCGGAAUUACUUUGGAAAUUCAUCUACUCCAAAGCAAUGAAGGACAUACUGCAUAGAAAACAAACAAACAAGCAAGCAAAAGGCAAAGAAAAUAAAAUACUAUGUAAUUUAUGAAUUUAGUUUUGUCUAAAUGUGGGGAAUGAUCAAUCUUUUUUGGGAAAAGAAAGGAUCAGUUCUUAAUUUCUUAUAAGUACUAUGUAGAAAUCAACAAAAUUUAAGGAAAUAUAAUUUUUUUAUUACCAGAAAGUUCGGACCAAAACUUUAACCUUCCCGAGCCUGAAACCACAUGUAAUAUUAGUUUCGUCCUAACGAUUAUUCGAAGUAACCAAAUAUUAUUUCUUUAUGUAGUAGCACUUGAUAUAUAUAUAUAUUCCAGUGUACCAUCUUUUAUUUUAUUUUUAUGUUUUUUUGAAUUAUACAGGAAUAUUAUGAUCCCACAGAAAUGGUUUAAAUUAAUCAUGUGUUGCCACAUGUCGGUCUUCUCUCUCUACGAUGCCGAAAUGUUAAUUUUAGAAUGGCCGGAACUCGAAUCAUGGUGUUUUUAUUGUAUUGGGUUUUUCCGUUCAAGUUAAUCACCACCAGACCACAAGGUGUAAGGUGUGGUUACAUAAUAACCAGGGACAUGUACAUAAUAACUGUGUUGUGUUUGACGACUCGAUCUCAUUGUCUUACCCGUUCGGCUCAAACAAGUGACUCGAUAAUAUUGUUUACGUAAUGUUAAAAUUUUCCAUGUAAUGGCUUAACCAAUUCCCCCACAGAAACAGACUUUUUAUGUCUAUUCACAUGUGUCUUCUACCUUCGUCGACGGAUUCAAAAUCAAGGCACACUUUAUUGUUGGAUUCUUCGAUAACGAGUCAAAGAGUCAAAGUUUGUUUUACUAACAUAUAUAAUUAAAUUAACUCUUGUCAUUUAUCUUAUAUAAUCGAAAUGGGCGUGUUACAUAUACCCUAGUUUUUUGAUAAGUUUUGUUUUAAUUUCAAACUAUGUCAUUAUUGUUAUUCAUAUAACCUAUGAUUGUUGCUAACGGAAUGUUUCAACUUUCAAGUAGCAAAGAUGAAUAUAAAACAUUGGUAAAUAUUGUUUAACAGAAUGAUUAAGAAAUUAUAUGUGUUUUUAACAGAAAAUUAGAUAUUUAUAACCUAAAUUAAUAAGAAAAAUUCUAAUUUUAGGUAGCUACUAGUCAUUAAUUGGCCUUAAAAUGAGGAAAGCUCAAUAUAUCACUGUUCUAUUUAAAUUUCGAUUGAGACUCGAUUAAGCAGAUAACAUAAAAAUAAAACCCCGUAAUUUGGUUCACAUAUUUCUUUUAAACUCAUAAUCAAUUAAGUGGCUGCUAUUAUCCUAAAAUGAAAGAAUUAAUUUUUUAAAAAGAAAAACAACCAUUCAUCUAGUCAGAGUAGUCUAAUAUAUUAUAGAUAAACUAAUAAAAAUCACUAGAUGUCGAGGUCAAAAAUUUAAUAAAAAAAGUGUCCAUACAAAAUACAAACUAGAAAAACAGGAAGACGUUUCAGACAUGACAAAUUAUGGUGUAGUUGUGGGUGCUGAUCUUUCUACCACACGAAGAAGAUGGAUCAUUAUGCAUCACCCACUUGUUAUUAGUUAUUUAUUCUGAAUUAUAUUUCUUGAAUCGUUGGAAUUUAUUUUGGAAAGUAUAGCCUUUUAUUUAAGAUUCAGCAAAAAUUGCGUAAUGGAAACAAUAAAGGCUUCACCAUGCAUUAGCGUCCACGUAUGUCCUUCUCAAGUCUCAAAGACAAGGUUCUUCGCGAACGGUCCAAAAGCAAACAUAAAAUUAUUAGUGAAGAUUAUUAUUGUUCAAGCAUCGGUGGAUAUAUGAUAUAUCGACCUUGGAUGGCUACUCCCACGAUUUUAAAAGACAACCAAAAUAAACAAAGGUCUUUUGUGAAAAUUAUAUUUUCUGUUGUAGUCACAUCGAAUCUCCAUCUACUGGUGGGGAAAUUCUUCAGUUUGUUGUUAUCUUUAAAAGAGAAAAAUAUUUUAUGGAGUACGCUUUCUGCACCUAUGAACUGAAUUGGUGUAUGGAUUGUGAAUUAAUGAUAUAUCCAUUGUAAAGUUUUCUUUAAAAAUAAAAUAUCACCGGAUAUCAGCUUUAGCCGUAAGGCUGUUCAACUAAGCUUGGAAGUCAAGAGGCUCCCUAAUAACAAAAUUCAACAAGACCACAACUAGACAUGCGGUUUUGAACCAAACCAAACCAAAUAUAUUUCGAGUUUUGGUUCAUUUUUGGUCAUUGGUUCUGAACCAAUCAACAAAUUUCAAAAUUCAUAAGGUUAACAGUUUGGUUCCGUUUGACAAUCGGUUAGUAGACCGAAAAAAUCAAAAUUAACUGAAAAUACUCGAAUUUAACUAAAAUUAUUUAUUUAACCGAAAAACUAAAACUUCAGUUUAGUUUAGUAACACAACUGAAAGAACGAAUUUAGUGAAACCGAAAAGUAAAUUUUCAGUUCAAUUUGGCAGUUUUUUUUUUAAUUUAUGAACUAGAUUUUGAUCCGAGCUUACAAAGCGCAAGUUUAUUUUUAAAAUUAAAUAAAUUCUUCUUAUAUAAUUUCUAUAUAAGAUAAUGUAUAGGUUUUAGUACAUUUACCUAGGCACAUUGAACCUACCAAACUGAAAAAAUCAAAAUUAAACUGAAUUUCAUAAAUAACCGCGCAUAUAUUAUAUUUUUAGAACCGAAAAAUAGAAACCAAACUGGGAACCAAAUGAGUACUUAAAUUUUUAAAAUACAAAUUAUAUACCUACAAAUAUUAAAAAAAUUAAUUUUUAAAUAACUAAAUAUCCUAAAAAUACUAUUUAUAAACCAAAUUUUGUAAAAAAAAAAAUUAACGACUCGAAUAUUUUUUAUUCAAAUAAUUAAUAGUUAAUUAUUUAUCCUAUAUUUUUUUCCAAACAACCUAAACUAUCGGAUUUAAAGCGCAAGAUAUUUUACAUUUGUGAAAUUCAAUAAAACGUAUCAUAUAUAUUGUUAGAAUUUAUAAAGUAAAUAAACAUGUUUUAUUUAAACCAAUCUUUUUUUAACUAAUUCCAUUUAAAUCCCCAAGCCGUUUAGACCCAUUUGAUAUUUUUUUAUGAUAAGAUUAAUCAUUUAGUUCAUUCUAUGUAAGAAAAUCUUAAUAAUUGAUUGCAUGUAAUUAAUUAAAUUAAUGUUUCAUAGCUGGAUAGUUGACAUUAAGGCUUUUAGUUUUCAAUUCAUGUAAAAAUGAAAAAAAAAUGUUAUACAACAUAGGAUUCUCCAUUACAACAUAUAUUAAACAUAACUAAACCAUUAAAAAUUUUAUAUUAUUAAUGAAAUUAUAUGUGGUAAUGAUCAUGUCAUAUGUAAACAUGUUUUAAUAAUCUGCCAUAUAUUUAUAAGAAUUUAUUGUUAGAGUAAUUAUAUAAUAAAUUAUGGGAGAAUAAUAAAUGAGUUCAUUUAAAUUAUGUAAGGUAUUUAUAUAGUUAGAAAAAUAUAAGAUAAGAUCAAAAAAUAGUUAAUUCUAGUGAAAUGGCCCAACAACUUUGUUUAAGUAGAUUUUUUAAGAAUCAUUUUCUUUUAAUAGUAUAGAUUAGCCGCAAAACCAAACUAACUGACCAGAAACUGAUGUAACCUAACCCACAUGCCUAGAUAAAAUGCCCGAGCCGAAGUCUUAAGUGGUCACACUGGAAUCAAACCUUAGACACGAACAAAAUUACGUUAUUGGUCUAACAUUCAAUACAUUGUACAACCAAGCACAAGUUAUAUUUGUAAAGUCUUGCUUCUUAAUUCAUCGUUCGUUUGACAAGAAGUGAAAAACAAAUAAUAAUAUUACAAGUAAUUUAUAAUCCUACUAAAUAGUGAUGGAACGUGCAAAAGGUUAUGAUGGUGAGUUUGUAUAGAGCACUAUUUGGUGGGGGCAAACUCAAAGAGGAUUACAUAGUCAAAAGGCAACAAGAUUGGCGUGCUCCUUGUUUGUGUUUAUGUCCGUAUUUACUAUUUGACCUGCAAUUCCACAAAAAGCAACAAGAUCGACUAAUAUGACCUGCAAUUCUACAAACAAUAACAUCGCUAUUUUGGUUAGUGGUUCAUUUACCAAGAUAUAUAUAAUCAUAUGAACAUAUAGAUAUGCCACAAACUUGUUUAGAGUGCUUCUCACAGUUAAGGUUGUUUCUAAAACCCUGAACUCAUUUUAAGGAUGUUUUAAAACUCUAGAUUUGAGCUAGUCUGGUCCAUAAAACUCGGACGACAAACUUUUGCGUAAUAAAAGAACUAAAAAAUUGGUGUGGUUCGGUGAUCUAUUGUACUACACGUGACAAUUUAUCGGACACUACGCUGUUUGUCUGAAAAAAUCUCGACUAUGGUGAAUACAUCAAAAUCUUCUUUGGAAGUAUGAUGAUAAAUCAUUAAGCGAAAAAAAAGUAUAUGAUAAAUCAAUAAACCUAUCACUAUUUUUUUUUGUCGACCAAAUAAUUUUGUUUAGGCAGCCUAUUAGGCGCAUACAAGUAAAAUCGGUUUUAUAAACGAAGCCCAACAAAACAAUAAAAUAAUGUUUAAAAUCUAUCCAGAAAUGUUAUCCUCAUGUAAUCGAAAGUUCAGUUUAUUGUUACUCAACACGAUUUGUAGAAGGAAAUAGAAAUUUUAAUGAAUAACACUUUGAUUUGGUUGAGAUAAACACAACAAAACUCGGUUAGCGAAAUAUAAAUCCAACUAAGCGGAACCAAAAUCGAUCAAUAGAUCAAAGCUAUUUUACUAUAACAAAAUCGGGAGAAAGAUAAAGAUCAAGAUGUGAUAAAAUUAAAAAGUAUAUAUAACAUAUCAAUCCAACGUCUACGCCAACCCACUUUAUUGAUAUUUUGUGCCAAUGCACACAUAUAAAUAUAUUUUUUUAAAUCGUAACCAUUAGUUAGUAUUUUUAUUUUAUUUAUAAUUUUUAUCUUAUUUUAUAAUUUAUAUAUAAGAAAUUACACAAAAUUCAAUUUAAAUAAUAAUAUGUUGUUAUGUUAUCUAUAUACAAUCUUGUGUAUAAAAUCGGAUUGGUUCAAUUAUUUAUUUGUGUAUAUAUUAGAUUGCAUUUAUUUUCCAAAUUUAAAUAUUUUAUUUUUUAUUUUAAAUAAGUAAAAUCAUAUUAGUUUCGUUAGUCACAUUUAGUUCAGUUUGUUGUUUUAGAUUUAUAUAUAAAUUUGUAAAAUUUUGCAUAGUUUAUAUGUUGUUUUGAGAAAAAAAUAAAUAAAGUGGUAUCCAAGUCUGUAUAUACACAAAAUAAAUAGUUUCGUAAGUCACAUUUGUUCAGUCUGUAUGUUAUGCUCAAAAUUUUGUAAUAUUGACACUAUUCAUAUCUGAAUUAUGCAUGGUUUGUAUUGCAUCAUAUGAGAACUAAAUUCUUAAAACUAAGACCAUCAAUGAGCCUAACGAAUUCUAAACUAUUUCGAGUUGGGCUAUGUUUUAUAUUCCACAAAAUGGGCUAUCGUAAGGAGAUCUAUGGUUAUUUUGGGCUUAUCUCAAGAAACUAAAUUUCAUUACAAGCUUGUAUUGGAUUCAUCUUUUAUACACUUGCACCAACAUUUUAUACACUUGCACCAACAUAAACUACAAGUUAAAGUCAAAAUGGCCGUACAGUAACACCCCUAGUAAAAUUGUUGUGGUACAAACUUCAGUAAGAUAAAAAAAAUCUGUUUCUAAAUAUCUUUCACGAUUUUCUUAAAAAAAUAAGGUGAUUAUCAUCAAUUGGCUAACGAAAUAUACAGUAUUGCUUAAUAUAUGAUAUUUGUCUAUUUGGUAAAGUGAUUUACUGUUUCUUAAGUCAACACAUAUACUAAUGAUCACUUCUAUAACAUAUAUGUAGAUGGUAUCAUUACUUAAUUGUUCACAUGACAACAUGUAUUGAUAUUCCUCAUAUAUAUCUUCCACGAAUCCUUCUUAGGUAUAUCGAUGCAUAACUAUGUGCAAAGCAAAUGGGGCAGUAGUUAAACCUACUUGUCCAGCUUUCUUAUUUUUUUUUUUUAUCAAACCAUACUUGCAUUAAUCUUAAAUAUGUUUAAGCUCCAACAGAGGAGGAAGAUACAAAGGGACUAGUAACAGCCAAGCAAACAACAACAAUAACAUAAGGGAUAAAAUGACGAUACAAAUCAUAAAAAAGAAUCAUAUGUCAGCUUUCUUAUUUAAGUCUUAAAUACGAUCCACCUUUCAGUCGCGAUUAAAGGGGAAAACAAUUUAAUUUAUAAUUGUUCAAAUUCAUAUUUCUUUUUCAUAUGAACGCUCUGGUGAUGUAAAGAUUUCAUAUCUUACAGAUUUGGGAGAUUCCUUGUGGCAAUUAGCUUAACUUUUACUUUUAUUAGUCCCUUUUGGUGGUCCUUAUAGUCCAUUUUCUAUUCAUUGAUAUAUCAAAAUAUGAGUAGUCAUUUUCUAGUCUUUGGAGCAACCAAACAACUUUGCAGUUCACAGAUUAGAGAAUCAAGAAAAAAAAUGUGAAAACAAAAUAUCAUAUAGGACAAUAACUCAUCAAAGUAACUAGAGAAAGAUGGCAACAUCGUCAUAAUCUUUGUCAGAUUGGCGCAGAAUGCUUUGAAGGAAAUGUGGUUGAUUCAUUUAUCCAAUAGUUAAACCAUGCCCCAAAUUAGAUAUGCCAGCAAUAAUUUAAAAUCUUUUAUCCAUACGUACUUUUUUUUUUUUUUUUUGUAAAUUGGCUUUCAUUAAUAUAAAUAAAACUAAAAAGGUACAAACUCAUAAGCUAGUGUUUAAAAGAGUAAAAGCCCAGUAAUUAGAAAAUAGAUAACUUAAGUGCAAGCCCAUGAAUCUCAAUAUUGAACUUUCUUGUGGUUGCUGAAGCCCAAAGAAGGGACGGUUGAAGAGAUUAACGAAGUCGUACGUCUUCUUCGUUGAGAUCAGUUGAGACUGAAAAAGAUGAUACAUAGAAGAUGUGAAACUACGGCCUGGUGGAAGGGAGAUCAAACCAUCUCUGCAUCAUCUUGGAACAGAGAAUAGGGCUCGAGUAUCUGAAGCUCUGAAUUUUAUUUCGGAUUUGGCGAUCAAUCAAGGAGAAGAUCGAGUCAAUUGAGCGGAAAGUGUUGGAGUGAAGUCUGUUGUUUCUUUCAUUCCAUAACCAGUAGAGAAUGGCUUGCCAAGAGAGAAGAACAAGAAGGCGAAACGCUUUUUCCGAAGGUAGAGACUGCAUCUGAAGGAUCGUUUCAUCCCACGAUCGUCGAGGAAUGAUCCGAGAACGAGAUGCAAUCAAAGUCCAGAGAUCGUAACUAAAUCCACAGUCAAAGUACAAGUGAUUUCUUGAUUCCACUUGCAAGUUGCAGAGUAGACAAGUAGGAGUUACUUGGAGACCCCAUUGAAGCAUCAUGUCUUUGGUGGGGCAUCUGUUCAGAGUAACUAGCCAAGAAUGAAACGAGUGUCGGGGAAUUGCGUGAGGAUACCAAAUCGCCUUGGUCCACGAGUGUGUAUCUAUUGAUCCUCUCAAGUAAGUGUAGACUUCUCCCGUACAGAACUUACUAUUGAUUUUUCCUUCAAUUUCCCAUUCAUAGUAAUCAUGGUUCUCAGUUAACUGGAUAGUGGUGAGGAAAGCACAAACCUAUAACAUUUCUUCUGAUCUUGCAGCGGGGAGAUUCCAGUGAUCAUCACGAAACAGAGAAGCAAUGGUUGCAUUCAGUGGAAUGCCAAGCCUUGAGUUUGACGAAUCCCGAAGAGCUGAGACUAGUCCAAGAGGAGCCCAAUUAUCUGACCAGAACCGAGCAGACCGACCAUUUUCCAGGCGCAUUUUGAUAAGAGGAGAAACCUCAGAGCGAAGCUUGAUCAGUUUGUUUACGAGCCAUGAGUUCUAUUACCUAGGCUUUACUAUCCAGUAAUUAUGAACGGAGCCAUUUAAGAUCACCUCUUUGAACCAAAUCGCCCAGACUGAGUCAUCUCUAAAGAACAGGAUCCAUAUGAGUCUCAGGCAGCAGGCUUUGUUCCAGAGUAGUAAGUCCUUAACUCCCAAUCCCCCUUGUUCUUUGGUUAGAGUGACUGUGUCCCAUGCUACCUUAGCCGAAUGAUGUCCCUCUAAGCUUCCUUUCCAAAGGAAUAGACUGCACAUGGAAUUAAUCUUUUUGAUGCAUGCUUUAGGUAGGAUGAAUGCUGAAGACCAGAAGGUUGUAAUGCCAGAUAUCACCGUUUUGAUCAGAAGGAGACGUCCUGAGAAGGAUAGAGACUUUACAGACCAAGCCGAGAACCGAGAUUUUACUUGCUGAAGCAGCGGUUGACAUGCCGAGAGGGACAGUUUCUUGGACUUCAGUGGAACUCCCAGAUAACGAAAAGGAAGAGAGCCGCGGGACAUGCCAGUAGAUGCUUGGAUUGUAUCGAGCUCAUCCUAAGAUAAACCUGAAGCGAAGAAGCCUAUUUUCUGGAAACUUACCGCUAGUCCCGAUCUUAGCUUGAAUUCCCUCAGUACUUUUAGGAUAGUCUGAACUGAUUCAAUGGAACCGUCAAUGAAGAUCAACAGGUCAUCAGCAAAAGAGAGGUGAGUAAGCUUCAUUUUUUCACACUUAGCAUGGUAUUUAGAUCUUUCGGUUGCGACGGCUCUGUUUAGCAUCAUAGAAAGACAAUUCAUAGCAAUGACAAAUAGAUAUGAAGAUAAGGGAUCACCUUGUCUCAGUCCUCUCUUACCCUUAAAAUACCCAUUGACUGUUCCAUUGUAACCCACCAUAAAACUGGUCGUGCAGAUACAAGCUUUUAUCCAGGAGACAAGGCUUUGAGAAAGAUGAAGUCCUUCUAAGCAAGAGAGCAAGAAUUCCCAAGAGAGAGUGUCAAACGCUUUUGCUAUGUCCACCUUGAUGGUGAUUCUUUUACUCCUUUUGUUCUUGUGAUAACCAUUUACUAACUCACUUGCUAAGGUUGUAUUCUCAACCAGUAGUCUAUCUUUUACAAAUGUUGUUUGACAUGGCAGUAUGAACUCUGGGAGGAAUGGUUUCAGGCGAGUUACAAGGAGGCGAGAUAUGACUUUAUACACUGUGUUAAGACAUGAAAUCGGCCGAAAGUCAGACACCUUUGUAGCUCCCGGGAAUUUAGGAAUAAGAGAGAGGAUGGUUGCAUUUGCUGAAGCUGGCAAAAAUGCAGUGGCAAAGAAGUGCUGGAUUGAAUCUACUACCUCCUGUCCAAUUACUUCCCAGCUAGCUUUGAAGAAACCAGAAGUUAGACCAUCAGGUCCAGGGGCUUUGUUCUGAUUCAUUUUAAGGAAUUGCUUUUGUAUCUCCACAUCUGAUGGGAUAAUUAACAUUUGUUGUGCUUGCGCAGGAGAGACUCGAUAAUCAAAGAGACAAGAGAACCAUGACGCCAUUGAUGCAAUCGGUGGGGAGCAGGAGGCUAGGGGUCCCAGAACUGACUGGAAGUGAGCAACAGCUAGCUGGCUCAUCUCAGUAGGAUCAGUUACUCGGGUUCUGGCAGCAGUAGUGAAGAUACGAAUUGCAUUGUAGCUUGCUCUGACCUGACAAAUUCUGUGAAAGUAAGUAGUGUUCAGGUCUCCUUCCUGCAACCAAUUGAUCCGUGAUUUUUGCCUGAAGAAACAUUCUUUUAUUUGACGCAGGAAAAGCCAGCGAUUAUGAAGGUCUCUCUCUUCUUGAAAUGAUUGUUGGCUUGGAGUAGUAAGUGCUUGUACCUGCACAGUUUGCAACAAACAGUAAGUUUCCUUGACUCUCUCUUGAAUUUUUGAAAAGUUCUCUCGGUUUAGAAGUUUCAAAUCUGAUUUAAUGAGUUUUAGCUUCCAACAGAGUUGAGUGAGAGUCCAACAGUUGCUUCCAGCCCGAGCCCAAGCGUCGUUUAUCACCAUGGUGAAGUUUGGAUGCUUAGUUAGGUAGUUUUGGAAUUUGAAAGGUUGGGUUCCCGCUUUAGGUAGAUGGACAGCAAGGUCUAGGAGGCAAGGGGUGUGAUCAGAGAUGGAUGGGGGGAGAAAUGUGACAGAGGCAUGAGGGAAAGCUGAUAGGGUAUUAUAGUUUAUGAGCUGUCUAUCCAGUUUUUUUUGCUAUUGGCGAGUCUGGCGGAUUGUUGGUCCAUGUGAGAGAGGGACCAUUGUAGCUCAGAUCAAAUAGGCCAGCUUGGAGUAUACAGUCCUGGAACUGGUACAUCAAGGAAUUGGGAACAUAGACAGUAGGGGAAGAAUGUUCUAAGGGCUGCAAUAUUUGAUUGAAAUCGCCACCAACAAACCACUGAUUGUUUUGGAGAUCAUAGGAGUUUGAUAGAUAUAUGAGUUCAGCCCAAAGGUCAGCCCGGUUUGCACAGAGAUUGGAAGCAUACACAGCAGUGUAGUAGAAGGGGUCUUUGUUCGGCAAUUCAAGCAAGUAAGUGAGGCUUUGACUACUCUGGUGAACUACACGCACCUUCAUUGGAUCCUUCCAGAUUAUGAGUAUUCUACCAUCUUCAUCAGACUGGUGGUUUGAGACAAAAUGCCAACCAAAGCAAAGCUUAGUCAUAAGCGGUAACAUAGAAAGUUCUUUAAUAUGAGAUUCAAGAAUGGCUCCAAAAAUAGGCUUAUGAGUUUGUAACCAACUAAUAAAAGGCCGAUGCUUAUCCGGGUCAUUUAGGCCUCGGAUAUUCCAAAAAAAGAGUUUUACACUCAUUGGGAAGAAGAAGGAGGGACCUCGCUUGUAAGGCGAGGAACCAGGUGCAAAAAAUCUAACGAGGAGUUGGGGUUUUCAAUAGGAAGCCGGGUUGAAGAGAUGGGGGUGAGAGGAUUGGAAAGAAAGGCGAGGGCUUCUACUGGGUCAGUAGGCUGGUGAGCAAAAGGAUUUGGAUUGAGAGAAGAGGAAGGUGUGAAAGUUGGAGAAGAUCUGGAUCUUUUUAGAGAAGGUCUAGGGAUAGGGUCGAGUUAGACGAAAUGGCUGAAAGAGGAGGAUUUACAUGAUCAGACGAGGAUUCAGUGGGAAGGGUUGUGAGGAGAGGAGGGUCAGUUACCAUUUGGUCAUGAGAAGAAGGGACAAAUUCAAGAAGAGCAAAGGUAUUAGAGAUGGGCAUUUUUGGGGUAUCAGAACUAGCAGUUGGAAGAUUUGACGACGGGGCUUUUUUGGCUUUAAAAGUAGCUGAGACUUUUUUAACAUAAGUUCUAGUGGGAGCAUUUUUUGGUGUGGAUUUGGGGAUGAGAGUAGAGAAGGAAUUGGCAGGGGCUUGUUUAGGAUGAUUGGUUUGGAAAGGGCUUUGUAUGGGAAGGUUUGAUUGAGGAUGGUUUUGUUUAGGAGUGUUUUGAACCGAUGGAGAGGGAAGCAGGAGACAGUUCCGAACAAGAUGACCUAGUUCAUGGCAAUGCGAACAGGUUGGAGGGAUCCAAGGGUAAUGAACCAGAACUUCAACAACUUCUCCACUCUGGCGCUGAAAUUCAACAACCGAGGGAAGGGGCUAAGUGAGAUCAACUUCAACUUUCACACGAGACAAGGUAAGGCUAACAAGGUUCCUUGUAAAGUCAUCUGUUUCUUUCGGGUCACCUACCAAACCUGUUACUAAACUGAGACCUUCUUGAUGCCUUAGGUCGAGGGGAACACCUGUCAAGUGUGCCCAAAUCUUUAUAGCUUUUAAAGGCGGAGUAGACAUAGAAUGCUCUAAAGACCACUGCGCCGUGUGGAACAUGGAGUCCCCUACGUACCAAAUAUUCUUCUCGAGAAUCUUCUGGCGAAGGUAAUCAUUUGGGAUUCUCACCAAAGUAGAUCUGUUACGGGGGUUGUUAUGAAAUCUAACUUUUUUCCUUUGCCCCACAUAUGGUUAAAGACGCUCUGAAUCUGAUUAAACGGAGGUGGCCUUCCAUUGUAGUAGCAGAUGAUGAAGUCUUUGUGAAUCGCAGCACCCUUCUCAAAAACUGAGUCAGGAAUUAAAACUCUAGGUCUUCAUGUUUCUGAGAUUGUUACAGGGGCAAGUCUUUUUAGGGUUUUAUCUUCAGAGAUUCUCAAUCUUUCUACAAGGGAUGGUUCUGAAGGUGUAGUUUGGGUGGGCAUUGGAAGGGUAGGAGGCAGAGUGACUGGUGGUGGGUUGGUUUCGAGACUGGGGUCGGUGGUAGAAGCUGGCGGAUUAGUAGGUUGAGAGGAUGAUGCUUUGUUUGUGAUGAUAGAAGAUGAGGAUUUAGGGUUAAUUGUUAUGAAGUUUAGGAUAGGUACGUGAGUUUCUUCUGAAUGAACAGGGGCAGUAGGGAUUUCAGAUCCAAUUUGAGGACCAGUUUCAGCGGAUGCAAUAGUUGUUACCGAUUCAAACUGAACUUUGACAGUGGAGUCAACAUGUUAAAUCUUGGUAGAGCUAAUAGAGGAGAGAACCAGUAACCCUUUUUUCAAAGGCUCCGGAACAAUGUUACGUUUCUGUUUCGAGAGGGGAGUUGAGGAUAAGAGAGGAUAUUCUUGAGGAGACAGAGGGGAGAGUGGGUCGGGAGGGUCCGGUGGAACGGGGUGAGGUGGAGGGGAGUCACCAGCAGAGGACGGCGAUGGGCUCGGGGCGGAAGCACGGCUAGGGAGCUUCCAAACGCUCUGCAUCGGGAAGCGAGUCAUAGAGGUUUUGACUUCGUAUUUAUGCUUCUUUGUAUGGUUUUUAAUCAGUUUUAUUUAUCCAUACGUACUUGAAUAUCUUGAUUUAUUAUUAGUGAAAUCUUCAGCUACAAAUUGAUUUUAUUCGAAUAUAUAUUAAGUAUAACUUCCUUUUCCAAUGUAAAGAAAGCGAUGGAAAUGAAAAACAAGACUGAAAAUGAUUAUGGUCUUAUCGGCUAAGGUCUACUUCCAAAUAGACAUACUUGGAUUUUUCUAACCAAACAUCUAUAAGAAACUCGUGAACUAUGCCAUUUUGGAGAAGAAAAAAAAAACUGCGAAUGACUAAUUAAUUUUUGAAAAACGUCAAAAUGCAAUACGUUACAUAUAAGAGAUUAGAAUAUUUCAACAUUUAAGGGAAUUAGGAGUGUGAUUGGCAAUAUAUGUGAAAAAUUACCAGAGGGUUUACAAUAUUAUACCGUUUUUUAUUAAUCUGAAUUCAUGGGCUUAGGAAACUCCACAACAUAGCCCAUAUACACUCUCUUUUUUUUUUUUGAAAUACCACACUUGUUUUUAUUAUAAAGUUUGUAUUGUUUUUACUUUGUAAUUUUUUUUGGUUGAAACAGUCACUCGGCUUUAAGCGAAUCACCUACUCAUAUAUAAAUUUGUUUGGAGGAAUCACUUAAUUCCACUAGGUUUGCGAGGGCAAAUCGUAUAGUAUCAAAUAGUUAUGUGAUCAUUUGGAUCAGUUGUAGAAGUAUUUUUGAUCUGCUCUUAUAAAGAAUCAAAACAAUAUGAUGAAUAAAGUUAGAAAGCUGGAUAACAUGGCACUUUAUCCGUGAAAUAGAACUUUUGCUGAUGCAUUCAUCAGAUGGUCUCAAGAAGUCAAGCUCAUCGCACCAACAACUGUCUGGUAACUAACAAAUGCAUACUCUACAAACAACCGUGUUCACUUCUUUUGCAUUUUUAAUACUUGUUUAUCCACCACCUUGACUUUCUGUCUAGCAUAUACUACCUCAUGUCAUAAAUUCUCUACAGGUUUUUUUUUUCUUUUCAUUUGAAGAGAAACCAAAAUUUUCUCAUUUUUUCUUAACAGAAAACUCUGUUAUGUCUUUUCAUUUACGUAAAUAUAUUCAUUUAUUUUUCCCUUUUCACUAGAAAACAGUUCAGAAAGACAAAUACUUCGAAUUUAUUAUUUUGGCAUAUUAAAAAAACAUACUUCGAAUACUUUAUAGAAUAAUGUAAUAUUAAGAAAAUUGGAAAUUUUGAUUAAAAAAAAACUAGAAACAUAUCGAUCAUUUUGCAAAUUAGAAAAGAAAUAGUAACUUCAAAAUAGAAUAUUGAAUGAUUACUUUCUAUUUAGAAUAGUACCACCCAGUCACUCUAUUUCAUAAUGCAGAUAUUUUGAGAAUGUUUCUAUUUUAGAUUAACUUUAAUUUUAUUGAACUAUUUGACCAGUCAUAUUUUACAGUCUUUUAUAUUUAACUGAAUUAAAUAAUUUGUGUGCUUUUAUCCCAAAUAUCAUAGAGCCUGAAAAAAUAAAUUGUUACAGAGAGUUUUCUUACUUUGUUUCGGCCUUUCGGGUUAUAGUCUAAGAGAUGCUUUCACAUAGUUCGGUAAAGUCCUAUACUAUAUCCUUUCCACCAUUAAAAAUCUAAGAACACAAAAAAUGUCACUGGAAAAUACUGACUUGCAAGUUGCAACUGUAUUAAAGAGCAUUAAAUUCCAAUAAAUUUCGAUAUUUUGGACAAUUUUUUCUUUACACGUUAAAGAAAAGAAUUCUAUUUUGGUUUUUGAAUAGUGGAAAUCCAUUAAAUUUUGGAAAUGAAAUGAGAGGUGAGUUUUAAUAAAUAAAAAGUAUAUAUGGUAAAUCAUAUGUGAACAAGAAAAAAGUACAUACUUGUCAGCCCCACUCCGUGAAGACAUCAUCCUUUUGUCGGUCCCCUUUCUAUGUGGUGAAAAUAUUUGUCCACGCUCUUCUAACUCACCCACUCAAAUCUAAUAUAAUGCCUUCGUAAGUUUUUUUUUUUUUUUUUUUUUUUUUUUUUUUUUUUUUUUUUUUUUUUUUUUUUUUUUUUUUUUUUUGACCAAAUGCCUUCGUAAGUUAUACACACGAUUAAACUUAUAAGAGCUAAUCUGACUAUUCAUGAAGUUUCUUUGAGAAAAAAAAAACUAUUAUAGUGUCUUCAUAUCACAAUAGAAUUACCAAAAUUAUCUAAUGGCAACAUGUUAUCUUUAAAUAAUUACAAGAAGCCAUUUUGUAAGGGUAAAUAAAUAGUAAGAAACACAACACUGUAAUUUUACAAAGAAAUAGCUACAAGUUUUCGCAUAGGACACAGCUAAUACAUCGACAUGUUAUUGUGACCGAUUUGACUCGGACAAAAAAAAACGUUGUUCUCCUGUCGAUAUGCUGAAAGUUUUCCAAAAAUAGCACAAGUUCGGUUCGACCGACAUUUAUCAGGAUUUUUUUAUCUAUACUAUAAUCUGUUUUACCACCGAAAAAGAAAAUCGUGGCACCCAAAAAAUGAAAUUUAAAUAAUAAAAAUCAAUGUCAGUUACAAAAAAAUCUAUAAUAAAAAUCAAUGUAACUCGUAAAGUACAAAUGUAUUAGAAAUUUGGAUAGAUAUAUAUUAUAUACAUUCAAAAUAGAUAAAAUGAACUGGCGCAUGAAAUCGUUGAAAUGACGAAAACAAAUAUUUCUGUUUUGUCGGCAGAAAUUCUACUGUUUCUUUAUUUUCCCUCUUUUGAGUAUUUAAAUAAUCCAGUUUCAAUUUUCAACACAACAAAAAGGGUUUAAAAUUAAACAAAGAAAAAGUGUAAGGAAUUGCAGCGACCCACAAAUUAAGGAUUCAAAUCUGACUAAAUAUUUUCUCUUUGUUCAAGUCAAUAGCACUCUUACUGAAAUUUUUGCGCUAAUCAAGGCUCUUAUUCCUCCCAUUUUUCUUUUGUUAUUUCUUUAUUAUGAGUUGAUUAUUUCAUGAGCUUACUAGUGCAGAAAAGAUGGAAUAUAACGAAAUUCUGAUUAUCGUCCAUAAAUAUUGUGAAAAAAAUUUGAAUAAAAAUUUAAAUUUUCAAUCUAAGGGUCAGUAGACAUGCGUGUUAACUAAACAAAGAUGAAUGCGCGCUAUGUAUAUGGUGCAACUCUAUGAAUGGAGAAAUGAAAAAUAAAUGUAAUAAGCCUCUACGGCUCGUCUGAUAGAUCAAAUACGAAAAACCAAAAGAGAAAAAUGUGGCUGAGUUUCACUAUGAAAAAUAACACAAAAAUAAAAUUAAUCUCACAAAUUGAAAAACAAUGGAGCAGAAGAUGUUGCUCCGAUUAUAUCAUCAUCCCUCUAUACAUACAACUUUUUUUGUUUCCUGGAAACCAUAAUAAUCUCUUCUUUUUGUUCUUAUUUUCAUCAAAUAAAUCUUCUAAGACAAUCUUGAUCACUCGCUUAAUCUCUGUAAAACAAUCUAUGAACAAUGACGGUUUUUAGAUUUUCAAUCUUACAUAGAGUAAUUGGAAACGACAUCGCUUUAUAUUUUGGGUUUUACCUGUCCAAGAAUCAAUAGAAGGGUGGAGGUGGAGGAGAAGCAUAGGAUACUCCGAUCACUGGCGGUAAUGGCCCCUCAUAUUCAGGAGAUGGCGGUGGUGGAGGCGGAGAGCUGUAAUAGACUGAUGGUGGCGGCGGAGAGCUGUAAUGGACUGAUGGUGGCGGCGGAGAGCUGUAAUGAACUGAUGGUGGAGGCGGAGAGCUGUAAACUGGAGGGGGUGGUGAGUACUCUAUGCAGGGAGGGGGUGGGGGUGGUUCGAUACAAGGUGGAGGUGGAGGAGGGGAAUAAUGAGGAGGCGGUGGUGGGGAAUGUGGUGGUGGUGGUGGUGGGGAGUGAGGAUACAUUGGUGGGGGAGGCGGCGAAUGGUGUGGUGGUGGUGGUGAAUUGUAGUAGUAUGGUGGAGGAGAAGAAUGAUGCGGCGGUGGUGGUGAAUUGUAGUAGUAUGGUGGUGGAGGUGAGUGAUGCGGCGGUGGUGGGGAAUUGUAGUAGUAUGGGGGAGGAGAUGAGUGAUGUGGUGGUGGUGGCGGAGGUGAGCUGUAAUAGUAUGGUGGGGGAGAAGAAUGGUGAGGUGGUGGUGGAGGUGAGUAAUGUGGCGGUGGUGGAGGUGAGGGGCACGGCGGUGGGGGAGGGCGAGUGCAAUAAAUUGGAGCUGGUGGUGGUGGAGAUGAAUAUACUGGCGGUGGCGGUGGCGAAGAGUAAACUGGUGGAGGCGGUGGUGGUGGUGGUGGUGGUGGAGGGGGAGAAUAAACUGGUGGAGGUGGAGGCGGUGGUGGUGGUGGUGGCGGUGGAGAGUAGACAGGUGGAGGUGGUGGCGGCGGUGAUGGUGGAGGGGGAGAGUAUACAGGUGGAGGUGGUGGUGGUGGAGGUGGAGGGGGAGAAUAAACAGGUGGAGGUGGAGGCGGUGGUGGUGGUGGGGGAGAGUAGACGGGUGGUGGUGGAGGAGGAGGAGGUGGUGGUGGUGGAGGGGAAUAGACAGGGGGAGGCGGAGGAGGGGAAUAGACGGGUGAUGGUGGAGGUGGCGAUGGUGGAGGCGGCGGAGGCAAUUGAGGUACAAUCGGAGGAAGGGGUGUAACAGAACGACCACACUUAAAAGAUUCACAAUCCACCGGAGGCCGAGACAAAAACGCUGCACAUUGCUCCGAAGACCUCUGAGCAGGACGUGACGGCAAACAAUUCCUCCGGUCAUCAAACUCCGGCAACCUGAGACAGACAGGAGCCUCGCCGGUGAAGAAAUUGUAGCUGUAAGUGAAAUUCUCAAGCUUGGGAAGCUGACAAAUACUCGCCGGAAUCUUCCCCGACAACUGAUUAUGAGCCACAUUCAACUGCUCCACCGACACCAUCCCGCCGACACUUUCCGGCAAC